AGCAAAUGAAAUCGGGCCCCUAGCCGCCACCGCCGUUGCUCAACCCAGCCUCCAAUCCUGAUCCAGGUCACUCUGACCCGCUGCCACUUGCCGGUGCGGUGGAGGACGCAGCGCUUCUAUCCUCGGAGUUCCUAUCCCGGGAAGAGGUCCUCCGCCGCCGCUCCCGGCGGGCGAAGCAGCUCGCCAGAUACUACAGGGAUCAGUAUUGGGCGCUCGUGGAGGAGGUCCGCGUCAAGAUUAGUGACUACUACAGGAGCUUCGGCAUCGGUCCCCGCGUGGUGGACGCGACGCCGACGCCCGCAGUGGCCGAGGGGAGUGGCGAUAACGACGAAGGGGCUAUGAAUAAGGUCUUUUGCCGAUUCUCCGACUGCCAAUCCACGGCGAUGCCACUCACGAGGUACUGCUAUCUUCACAUACUCUGCGACAGCAAGCAGACGCUUUACAAGCCUUGCACGUUUGCUACCUGCAGGACGUAGUGCAGACGAUGGGCGCAUUGUAUCUCUGGCGUAAUGGUCAGGGAUCGAUUCUCAGAAACUGACGACCUGAAAUUUAACCCGCCAUACGCCUAUGACUUGUGUACCUGUAUGAACCUCCCUCCAUAUCCGUGGAGCCGAUAUUAGGAGGGUCACUAAGUGGACAUCCUUGCGGGAAACCAGUUCUUCGAACUGCAGUGCCUUCUUUCUGCACAUUUCACAUUCAUAAGCCUAAGAAGCAUGUCUCAGAAGCUGUCAAUAAGGCAGCUCUCAGGUUCUGUUCUUCUGGCAAUUGUGCUCCCAAUUUUCAGGUUUUAGUUAUUGAAUAUAUCCACCAGAUCCAGAUCAACAGAGGAAGAGCACUGAAUGCUUCUAAUACGAAUAAUAUAAUAUAGUUAAGCUCGAUAAUGCUGGUUGAAGACUCUUGUGUUUAUCAGUUUAAAGAAUGAAGUGUCUGAUUUUUCGGUACAGAAGCUUAUCUAAUUCUAUAGAUGGAGAUGAUCUCAUGAAAUGAGAAGGUUAAUUGUACAAGGUAUGACAAUGAUGUUCUUGUUCUUC
This is a long non-coding RNA of Zingiber officinale, 1031 nucleotides long. RefSeq lists it as uncharacterized. The record is from RefSeq and is a predicted model, not a curated record. NCBI's taxonomy places the organism in Eukaryota, Viridiplantae, Streptophyta, Magnoliopsida, Zingiberales, Zingiberaceae. The transcript has 3 exons.